This 658-nucleotide ribosomal RNA is filed under the name Staphylococcus aureus. Its description in RNAcentral is "partial 23S ribosomal RNA". It matches the Rfam family "Bacterial large subunit ribosomal RNA", at positions 1 to 654 of the family's 2925-position model. Lineage: Bacteria; Bacillati; Bacillota; Bacilli; Caryophanales; Staphylococcaceae. The record is from RNAcentral.
AGAUUAAGUUAUUAAGGGCGCACGGUGGAUGCCUUGGCACUAGAAGCCGAUGAAGGACGUUACUAACGACGAUAUGCUUUGGGGAGCUGUAAGUAAGCUUUGAUCCAGAGAUUUCCGAAUGGGGAAACCCAGCAUGAGUUAUGUCAUGUUAUCGAUAUGUGAAUACAUAGCAUAUCAGAAGGCACACCCGGAGAACUGAAACAUCUUAGUACCCGGAGGAAGAGAAAGAAAAUUCGAUUCCCUUAGUAGCGGCGAGCGAAACGGGAAGAGCCCAAACCAACAAGCUUGCUUGUUGGGGUUGUAGGACACUCUAUACGGAGUUACAAAGGACGACAUUAGACGAAUCAUCUGGAAAGAUGAAUCAAAGAAGGUAAUAAUCCUGUAGUCGAAAAUGUUGUCUCUCUUGAGUGGAUCCUGAGUACGACGGAGCACGUGAAAUUCCGUCGGAAUCUGGGAGGACCAUCUCCUAAGGCUAAAUACUCUCUAGUGACCGAUAGUGAACCAGUACCGUGAGGGAAAGGUGAAAAGCACCCCGGAAGGGGAGUGAAAUAGAACCUGAAACCGUGUGCUUACAAGUAGUCAGAGCCCGUUAAUGGGUGAUGGCGUGCCUUUUGUAGAAUGAACCGGCGAGUUACGAUUUGAUGCAAGGUUAAGCAGU